GGAGGUGUGGCUCAGUGGUACAGCACUUGCCUAGCAUGCAUGCAGCACUGAGUUCAAUCCCCAGCACUGCGA
Molecule: transfer RNA, 72 nt
Filed under: Ictidomys tridecemlineatus (thirteen-lined ground squirrel)
Lineage: Eukaryota; Metazoa; Chordata; Mammalia; Rodentia; Sciuridae
Description: Spermophilus tridecemlineatus (thirteen-lined ground squirrel) tRNA
Rfam family: tRNA
About the family: Transfer RNA (tRNA) molecules are approximately 80 nucleotides in length. Their secondary structure includes four short double-helical elements and three loops (D, anti-codon, and T loops).
Source: Rfam by way of RNAcentral